ACAAAUCCACUAUUGGUUUUACGUCAAGCAAUACGUAGAGUAACUCCCAAUAUAGGAGUAAAAACAAGACGUAAUAAAAAAGGAUCGACGCGGAAAGUUCCGAUUGAAAUAGGAUCUAAACAAGGAAGAGCACUUGCCAAAAGGAAAAACAUCAAUUUUCUGUUCUGGUCAUAA
RNAcentral lists this ribosomal RNA (174 nucleotides) under Triticum aestivum (bread wheat). Its description in RNAcentral is "partial small subunit ribosomal RNA". Lineage: Eukaryota; Viridiplantae; Streptophyta; Magnoliopsida; Poales; Poaceae. The record is from RNAcentral.